RNAcentral lists this long non-coding RNA (1986 nucleotides) under Gadus morhua (Atlantic cod). RNAcentral describes it as "lncRNA (ENSGMOG00000024650.1)". The record is from RNAcentral. Lineage: Eukaryota; Metazoa; Chordata; Actinopteri; Gadiformes; Gadidae.
CCGUGUAUGGCUAAUACUAUUGACUAUAUUCAGGGAGAUUUUUGCCACCUAAUUAAAACUCAGCUAAGUGGCAAUACUUGAAUUAUAAACUAAUAGCUAACAUAAACCCAUUUUGUUGUGCUAGGGAUUGUACAACGAGCAACAAAAACUGGAUAAUUAAAAAUUAAUAUCACAUAGUGAUCGAUGCCGCGGGGGAAUGUCCAUUGCAAAUUAUAGAGAUUCAUUAACCUUGAGUGUGAAUGGAUUAUCCAGGUGUCCUGUAUGUGUCGGUUUGUGAAGGACAAAGAGAGGCCAUGUCACAGAUUAUUCUAAUCCCUGUAUACGCAGGGUAAAUUAAACUGGCCGUUGUCAUUGGUGAACAGAGCUGUCAUUCAGUAUGCUGGUAAAAUAACAACUAUACAACCUCUAUGAAUCUGAGCUACACUGACAGUCAAAUCAGAAAAUCAACAUAGAAAUGUUGAAUCCUUCCAACGAUAUGAGCAACACAAUUUACCUACCAACCCGUCCCGACUGACUACCCUGCUCCGAAACAAACCAGAUGAUAAGAUUAACAGACUGGAGCAGCUCCAGUCAUUUGAGUUAUGUCAUCAAAGCUGUGCGAUUGACCCACAGACUAUACGACCCGCAGGUGUUCUUCUACCUGCGCCAACAUAACUGUCUUUCAACUGACUAGCAAUCUCGAGCACCAACUUUUCAAUUGAACAGCUGUCCAGCACAAGCAAGGAACCUCAGCAGCCAGCUCACUUUCAUGCCAAACCUUCGGCACAUCUAAGCAGUCUUUCCACCUCUACCAGCCAUCCAGUAAUAUGCAUCCGCUGUCGGCUUGGAUACUGACUGUCAACACCUCUUUGACGUUGUUUCUUUGGAACUUCCUGUUUCGGCAGGUCUUUUGCAAGAAAGUGGAAGAUGACCCGGAACACGCGGUCCCCAUCACAGCAUGAAUAAGUACACAUACCUGGCUCCUUCCCGCAGGGGGCUUGCUUCAAGUCAAAAGGACCCAACCACAGCAAGAUAGAGCAGAGCGGUGGAGAAGAGGGGGCGGAUCAUUUCCAGAAUACUUUCAUUGCUCCUACAUUCAUGGUUUUGAAGCGUGGUUCAGUUGUUGUUCAUCUAACACUUACCGUUACUGGAACGGUUUGUAUACAAAGAUGAAAGAAUCAAGGCAAAAUUGGAGCCAACCAAAUUUUCCGCUCAGAUAUCUUUUCAUCUUAGUACUCCUUUUAACAGCACAAAACAUUUGAAGGUGAGGUGAGGUGUGCCCUUCAGAUUCAACACAUUUUAUUAAAGGUACAGUGUGUAGAAUUGAGGGGCAUCCAGCAGAAUAGACUUGUCCAAAAUGGAAUGUAAAAUUCAUAAGUUUUCAGUUGGUUGCAAUCUUUCAUAACCAAUUUCAAACAACAAAUAUACCUCUUUUGAAAUCGUCCAAGUACCCCCUCCAAUCCUCCAUAGAUAAGUUUUAAUAUCAGAAAAUCAUCCCCAUUGAUUGAUAGAUGAGUCUAAUUAGGUUCCAUUAAUUUGAUAUGAUAUGGAUAUAGGAUGUAGGACACAUAUAUAUGUGAAAAUUAUAUAGAUUAUAUAUAAAUUAUAAAGAAAAUACAUAGUUGGAAAUGCAGUGUGUUACAAAAUAAAAAUAUAUAUUGUGUUUUCAAAGCUGAAAUUGUGUUUGUUGUAGUAAUACUUUGGCACUUGUUUAAGAGACAUUAAUAGGUGAUGCUAAUGUUAAAGCUAAACUAGGUUCCCUAUUAUAACAAUCCCUCCCUCCAAAAAUAUCAUCAUUAAUAUAAUCAACAUUUGAUGAGUCAUUGUCACCAGCAUGAGUAUGAAAACAUGGCAAAUAAGCUUGACCUAUCACCUUUCACCCAACCCUAGAGCUUGGAAAGAAUAUCAUCUGGGGAAUUGCUUUUGUUUGUUGUGUGUUUUGUAUAAUUACAAUGAAAUGAAUGGCCUUGCCCUUCAACAUUAAAAACGCUGGAAUAAUUAAACGUA